This 678-nucleotide ribosomal RNA is filed under the name Triticum aestivum (bread wheat). RNAcentral describes it as "partial small subunit ribosomal RNA". Lineage: Eukaryota; Viridiplantae; Streptophyta; Magnoliopsida; Poales; Poaceae. The record is from RNAcentral.
AUGAAGAGACUUUUGAGGGGCUCGUCGAGCCGAAGCUCUAAGGAAAAACAAAAGGAAGAAGAGGAGAAGCCCAAAUUUAAUUUGCCUCGCACCGCGGAGGUCCGGCCUUGUGAAUGGCCUUCCGAUGACUUCUUGAGGAGAGCUGGGAUUUAUGAAGAUUUCUAUUUAUUGAUUGAGAAUGCUGGCCUCACCAACUUCCUCCAUGACCAACGUCAUCAGUAUCUCUUACUCACAAAUACUUUUGUGCAAAACUUCUACUUUUUCCCUAAGAAAUCACCUCCAACAGUAGAGUUUCAUUUAUAUGAUGUUGUUAAAAAGAUGACAUUAGCUGAAUUCUGCGAGAUUUGCAGAAUACCCUUUGAGGGCACCUUAGAUGAACCCCAUCGUAACGAAGUAGAAGCUUUUGUUAACACUAUCACGGUGGGAGAAACCAGGAAGGUUUCUGAUGCAAGGAUCACUAGCAUACAUUAUCCCGUUUUACGCUACUUUGCCUUAUUUGCUAGUCGUUGCUUGAUUGGACGCGGGAACUAUGGGAACCUUAUUAUUCCUGAUAUUAUUAUUUUGCUCCAUGGUUUAUACCGCAAUAACUCUGUUAGUAUGGGUGGAAUUGUUGCUAGACGGUUAAGUCUGAACCGUACUAAGGGCCCAUCUUUGGAGGCAUUUAUGCUUCACGCCUAG